CCCGCCUCUCCAUGGACGGCGGCCGAGCAGCAGCCGGCGGCGCAUACCCCUCUCCCGUCGCUGCUCCUCCACAUCCUGCGGCGCUGAGCAACACUCCUGUCGAUGCCUCCUCGUUCAUCCACACGCCGUUCUACUGGAAUUAUUACUUGGACUGGCACAACUGAGGCAGCAGUUUCCCCGCCCUGUUCCUCCCUCAGCAGCAGCUCUGGCACCUGGCACGCGCGCGGCUUUGAUGCCGCUCAGGGUGGUGCGAGCGGCGUCACGCCGCUCCCACCGCGCGGGGCCUCGCGCGUCUUCCGUGGCGCGGAUGUCGGGGGCGUGCAACGCGAUAACCUCGGCAAACAUGCUGAUGGGGCAGCACCUGCGGGCCGGCCGAUUGGACGCCGUGCGGGAGGUGUUCAACGGAAUGCCGCGGCGGGAUGUUGUGUCCUGGAACACCCUCAUGGCCACACACGCCCGGUCCGGGGCGCAUGGCAGUGUGGCUGCCGCGUUCGCUGAAAUGAGGCGACAUGGGUUCCACGCAGACAACGUCUCGUUCUCGACCGUGCUGUUGGCCUGCUCGCGGAUGGAGGCUCUGGAGCUCGGGAUGUGCAUCCACGGGCUGGCGACCAAGACCGGUGCCUCCCGGAACGUGUUUGUCGGUGCGUCCCUGACCACAAUGUACGCCAAGUGUGGGCUGUUCAGCUUCCUAGAACGGGUUGUGAACGCUGUUGACAGUCCAAACGUGGCCUUGUGGAAUGCUCUCAUAUCAGGACUUGUGAUGAACCAUCGGGUGGAGGAUGCUCGCAGGGUCUUCGAUAAGAUGACAGAACGCAAUGUUGUGUCCUGGACUGCCAUGGUCAAAGGGUACGUCAGGGUGCAUGAAUUGGGAUGGGCCUUCGAGCUGUUUAACUUGAUGCCUGCAAAGAAUUCAGUGUCAUGGUGUGUCAUGAUUGGAGGUUUUGUCAACCAUAAGCGGUUUGGAGAGGCAGUCGACUUGUUCAAGUCUUUGGUGAGUAGUGGGGAGGAAGUAACAAGUGCAGUUCUGGUCAAGAUUGUGAGGGCUUGUUCUAGCUUGAAAAGUAUUGGAGGAGGUCAAUGCAUUCACGGUUUCGCUGUGAAGUCUGGGUUUAUUCUUGACCAGAUCAUUGAGGCAUCACUGGUUAUGAUGUACUGUAAUUCCUUAGACAUCGAUGAGGCACGGCUUGAAUUUGAUAGAAUGGAAAGAAAGCAUGUUGGCUCAUGGAAUGCCAUCCUAUCUGGCUAUAUCCAUGCUAACAGGCUUUAUGAGGCUAGACAGCUUUUUGAUUCCAUGAUUGACAGAGAUAGGAUCUCGUGGAACUUGAUGGUCAGUGGCUAUAUAAAAGAUGGAAGAAUCGCUGAUGCUACUGAGUUGUACUCAAAGAUGCCUGAAAAGAGUGUGGAAGCGGGUACUGCUUUGAUGUCUUGUUUUAUAGACAAUGGAAUGCUUGACAAAGCUCGGCAUGUGUUCUACAAUAUGCCUGAAGUAGAUGUGAUGUCCUGUACUACUUUACUCUUUGGAUAUGUGAAAGGAGGGUAUAUAGAUGAUGCACUGGUUCUUUUCAAUAGGAUGCGUAAAAGGACUGUUGUCACCUACAAUGUGAUGAUAGCUGGUUUGCUUCAUCAAGGUAAGGUUACUGAAGCCUACAAGCUCUUUGAUGAAUCUCCAAUGCAUGAUUUAGUAACUUGGAGCUGUUUAAUCAAUGGGCUUGCUCAAAGUGGUUUAAAUAAUGAUGCACUUAAGCUGUACAAGAAGAUGCUACUGUCAAAUAUACGACCAAGUGACUCGAUGCUUUCUAGCCUCAUUGGCUGUUUUUCGCAUCAUUCUAUGAUGGUUCAUGGCCAGCAGUUUCAUGGUAUUAUUAUCAGGCUUGGGUUUGAAUCACAUUUGCUAAUUCAAAAUUCACUUAUUAGUAUAUAUUGCAGAUGUGGUGAAAUGUUAAUGGCCCAAGGCAUAUUUGAUAGCAUGGCCAGGAGAGAUGUAGUGACAUGGAACACUAUGAUUUGUGGAUAUGCACUCAAUGGUCUUGGUCAAAAUGCUAUUCAGACAUUUGGUAACAUGAAUAAGGCACAAGUUGAUCCUGAUGACAUCACGUUUAUCGGCAUACUUUCUGCAUGUAAUCACAUGAGCCUUUUGGAGGAAGGCAAACAUUUCUUCAAUAUAAUGACAUGCAGUUAUGGAAUUUUACCGAAUAAAAUGCAUUAUGCUUGCAUGGUUGAUCUAUUCAGUAGGAGAGGCAUGCUUGAGCAAGCUGAAGAGUUAGUGAAGUCAAUGCCAUUUGAACCAGAUUCUGCAAUUUGGACUUCUCUCUUGAGCAGCUGUAGAUUGAAUGGCAAUGGCAGGUUGGCAGAACAUGCAGCGAGUCAACUAAUCUCAAUCAACCCUACCACUAAAAUGCCAUACCUGCAUCUCAUCAGUGUAAAUAGAUCAACUGAAAGAUGGAGUGUGAUGGACAAUUUGAGAAGUCAAAUUGGAAAUGCAGCAACAGACAAAGAAGUUGGCUAUAGCUGGAUUUAACAUUCCAUCAUGAUUCACUGAUGUGUACUGUGUAACAGCAGCAUGUCAAUAAGGUACCAGAAUACAAGGCUGCCUAUGGGCUAGGGCUGCCAAUUAUUAAGCACGGCUUUUAACUUCUCAUGGUGCAGCCACAACCCAUGGAUCACUUAUGCAGAAACUUGUCACCACGGUGAAGAAAAUAUCUACAUUCUAUGUAAGGAACUGAUAAGAAUUGGAGUGGCUGAUCCUAUGGGCACUGAUCUUUAUGUUGUUUUCAUAUCAAACGAGGAAAAGAAGGUUCCUCUCUGGCAUCAGAAAGCAAGUAACUCUGAUGAAGGAUUUAUCUGCUGGGAUUAUCAUGUGAUCUGCGCCCAGUCUAGGCGAAACGAAACAAAGGAGAAGUUCUUGAUCUUGUUUGGGAUCUGGACUCGGAUCUUCCUUUCCCUUCCCCAUUCAGCCAGUAUGUUUCCGAUGCAAUUCAACCACUAGCAUUUGGUGAUUCCAUAUAUAGAAGGCUCUUCCGUGUGGUUCAUGCUCCUUUGUUUCUUCAAUCAUUUGCUUCAGAUAGAAGCCACAUGAAGAACCCUGCGGGGAAUUGGAUUCAGCUACCCCCAAAAUGGAACCACCAAUAACCUUAAUGAGUACAUUGCGAUGUCUGUGGAGGAUGUGGCAGACCUGGAGAGUGUGGUUAAUGAUGUUUACUCCAACAAACAUGGUGUAGUGGUUAAUGAAACAAUACUGCCCAGAUUCUUCGCUCG
This is an RNA transcript of Setaria italica (foxtail millet), 3255 nucleotides long. It is a transcript of the gene named protein N-terminal glutamine amidohydrolase, with no coding region annotated. The record is from RefSeq and is a predicted model, not a curated record. NCBI's taxonomy places the organism in Eukaryota, Viridiplantae, Streptophyta, Magnoliopsida, Poales, Poaceae. The transcript is spliced from 7 exons.